UGGGGAAUAUUGGACAAUGGGCGCAAGCCUGAUCCAGCCAUGCCGCGUGGGUGAAGAAGGCCCUAGGGUUGUAAACCCCUUUCAGCGGGGAAGAUAAUGACGGUACCCGCAGAAGAAGCCCCGGCUAACUCCGUGCCAGCAGCCGCGGUAAUACGGAGGGGGCUAGCGUUGUUCGGAAUUACCGGGCGUAAAGCGCGCGUAGGCGGACCUGCAAGUCGGGGGUGAAAGCCCGAGGCUCAACCUCGGAACUGCCUUCGAUACUGCGGGUCUCGAGUCCGGGAGAGGUGAGUGGAAUUCCUAGUGUAGAGGUGAAAUUCGUAGAUAUUAGGAAGAACACCAGUGGCGAAGGCGGCUCACUGGCCCGGUACUGACGCUGAGGCGCGAAAGCGUGGGGAGCAAACAGGAUUAGAUACCCUGGUAGUCCACGCCGUAAACUAUGGGCGCUAGCCGUCGGUCGGCAUGCCGGUCGGUGGCGCAGCAAACGCAUUAAGCACCCCGCCUGGGGAGUACGGUCGCAAG
This 519-nucleotide ribosomal RNA is filed under the name uncultured Pseudomonadota bacterium. RNAcentral describes it as "bacterial SSU rRNA". It matches the Rfam family "Bacterial small subunit ribosomal RNA", at positions 355 to 892 of the family's 1533-position model. The record is from RNAcentral. Lineage: Bacteria; Pseudomonadati; Pseudomonadota.